This 458-nucleotide ribosomal RNA is filed under the name uncultured bacterium. RNAcentral describes it as "partial 16S ribosomal RNA". It matches the Rfam family "Bacterial small subunit ribosomal RNA", at positions 338 to 795 of the family's 1533-position model. The record is from RNAcentral.
CCUACGGGAGGCAGCAGUGGGGAAUAUUGGGCAAUGGGCGAAAGCCUGACCCAGCAACGCCGCGUGAAGGAAGAAGGCUUUCGGGUUGUAAACCUCUUUUGUCGGGGAGCAAAAGACGCCACGCGUGGCGUUCCGAGAGUACCCGAAGAAAAAGCAUCGGCUAACUCCGUGCCAGCAGCCGCGGUAAUACGGAGGAUGCGAGCGUUAUCCGGAUUUAUUGGGUUUAAAGGGUGCGCAGGCGGAAGAUCAAGUCAGCGGUAAAAUUGAGAGGCUCAACCUCUUCGAGCCGUUGAAACUGGUUUUCUUGAGUGAGUGAGAAGUAUGCGGAAUGCGUGGUGUAGCGGUGAAAUGCAUAGAUAUCACGCAGAACUCCGAUUGCGAAGGCAGCAUACCGGCGCUCAACUGACGCUCAUGCACGAAAGUGUGGGUAUCGAACAGGAUUAGAUACCCGUGUAGUC